CAGCCGCCGCGGUAAUACCGGCGGCCCGAGUGGCGGCCACUAUUAUUGGGCUUAAAGCGUCCGUAGCCGGGUUGGUUAGUCUCCCGGGAAAUCUGGCCGCUUAACGGUCAGAAUUCCGGGAGAUACUGCCAGCCUAGGGACCGGGAGAGGCCGAGGGUAUUCCCGGAGUAGGGGUGAAAUCCUAUAAUCCCGGGAGGACCACCUGUGGCGAAGGCGCUCGGCUGGAACGGGUCCGACGGUGAGGGACGAAGGCCAGGGGAGCAAACCGGAUUAGAUCCCCGGGUAGUCCUGGCUGUAAACGAUGCGGACUUUGUGUCGGACAAGCUAUGAGCUUGUCCGGUGCCGGAGGGAAACCGUUAAGUCCGCCGCCUGGGGAGUACGGCCGCAAGGCUGAAACUUAAAGGAAUUGGCGG
Molecule: ribosomal RNA, 413 nt
Filed under: uncultured microorganism
Description: bacterial SSU rRNA
Rfam family: Archaeal small subunit ribosomal RNA
Source: RNAcentral